This 1052-nucleotide ribosomal RNA is filed under the name uncultured archaeon. Its description in RNAcentral is "bacterial SSU rRNA". It matches the Rfam family "Archaeal small subunit ribosomal RNA", at positions 5 to 1054 of the family's 1478-position model. The record is from RNAcentral.
GGUUUGAUCCUGCCCGAGGUCAUUGCUAUCGGGGUUCGAUUUAGCCAUGCUAGUCGUGCGGGUUCAGACCCGCGGCGUAUAGCUCAGUAACACGUGGCCAAACUACCCACCAGACAGGAACAACCUCGGGAAACUGAGGCUAACACCUGAUACGCGUUACGCGGAUGAACACGGUAACGCUCAAACGCUCCGGCGCUGGUGGAUGUGGCUGCGGCCGAUUAGGUAGACGGUGGGGUAACGGCCCACCGUGCCGAUAAUCGGUACGGGUUGUGAGAGCAAGAGCCCGGAGACGGAAUCUGAGACAAGAUUCCGGGCCCUACGGGGCGCAGCAGGCGCGAAACCUUUACACUGCACGCCAGUGCGAUAAGGGAACCCCGAGUGAAAGGGCAUAUCGCCCUUUCUUUUCUGAACCGUAGGGAGGUUCAGGAACAAGAGCUGGGGCAAGACCGGUGCCAGCCGCCGCGGUAAUACCGGCAGCUCAAGUGAUGACCGAUUUUAUUGGGCCUAAAGCGUCCGUAGCUGGCCAUGCAAGUCCAUCGGGAAAUCCACCCGCUUAACGGGUGGGCGUCCGGUGGAAACUGCAUGGCUUGGGACAGGAAGGCUCGAGGGGUACGUUCGGGGUAGGAGUGAAAUCCCGUAAUCCUGAACGGACCGCCGAUGGCGAAAGCACCUCGAGAGGACUGAUCCGACAGUGAGGGACGAAAGCUGGGGUCUCGAACCGGAUUAGAUACCCGGGUAGUCCCAGCCGUAAACGAUGUCCGUUAGGUGUGUCACUCACUACGAGUGAGUGAUGUGCCGCAGGGAAGCCGCUAAACGGACCGCCUGGGAAGUACGUCUGCAAGGAUGAAACUUAAAGGAAUUGGCGGGGGAGCACUACAACCGGAGGAGCCUGCGGUUUAAUUGGACUCAACGCCGGUAACCUUACCAGCCCCGACUACAGUGAUGACGGCCAGGUUGAUGACCUCGCCACGACGCUGUAGAGAGGUGGUGCAUGGCCGCCGUCAGCUCGUACCGUGAGGCGUCCUGUUAAGUCAGGCAACGAGCGAGACCCA